CCUACGGGAGGCUGCAGUGAGGAAUAUUGGUCAAUGGACGAGAGUCUGAACCAGCCAAGUAACGUGAAGGAUGACUGCCCUAUGGGUUGUAAACUUCUUUUAUAUGGGAAUAAAAUGUUCCACGUGUGGGAUUUUGUAUGUACCAUAUGAAUAAGGAUCGGCUAACUCCGUGCCAGCAGCCGCGGUAAUACGGAGGAUCCGAGCGUUAUCCGGAUUUAUUGGGUUUAAAGGGAGCGUAGGUGGAUUGUUAAGUCAGUUGUGAAAGUUUGCGGCUCAACCGUAAAAUUGCAGUUGAAACUGGCAGUCUUGAGUACAGUAGAGGUGGGCGGAAUUCGUGGUGUAGCGGUGAAAUGCUUAGAUAUCACGAAGAACUCCGAUUGUGAAGGCAGUUCACUGGACUGCAACUGACACUGAGGCUCGAAAGUGUGGGUAUCAAACAGGAUUAGAUACCCGGGUAGUC
This 460-nucleotide ribosomal RNA is filed under the name uncultured bacterium. RNAcentral's name for it is "partial 16S ribosomal RNA". It matches the Rfam family "Bacterial small subunit ribosomal RNA", at positions 338 to 795 of the family's 1533-position model. The record is from RNAcentral.